CAGAGCCCAACGUGGGGCUCGAACCCACAAACCGUGAGAUCAUGACCUGAGCUGAGGUUGGACACCCAACUGACUGCGCCACCCAGGUGCCCCUAAAGCUGUAGUUUUAAAGAUCAUCAAAUGAGCAAGUCAUAUGGUCCAACUCCAAAUCAAAAGAUAAGGAACCAUCCUGUGCUUAUCAUGAAGCCAUGGUAAGAGGGGGCUGCAUACUAUAGGUCCACAGAGCAAGGAGCCAGAAGGGAGUAACAACAGGUGUUGAGGAGGAGAGGAGCCCACAACUGAGCAACGUCUGGGAGGGCUGUGCUGGAGCAGCGAGAACAGCAGGACAACCUGAAAGAUACAGCAUUUUAUUUGCAAAAUCUUUGCCAACUAACUUGAAGAAUGAAAGAAAAUAAUUCCGUCGCUAUCUCAAAAAGAACAUCUUUUAAGCUUCCCUCCCAACCUGAG
Long non-coding RNA from Prionailurus viverrinus (fishing cat), 447 nucleotides. RefSeq lists it as uncharacterized. The transcript is spliced from 4 exons. The record is from RefSeq and is a predicted model, not a curated record. Lineage: Eukaryota; Metazoa; Chordata; Mammalia; Carnivora; Felidae.